CCUACGGGUGGCAGCAGUGGGGAAUAUUGGACAAUGGGCGAAAGCCUGAUCCAGCCAUGCCGCGUGUGUGAAGAAGGCCUUCGGGUUGUAAAGCACUUUCAGUGGGGAAGAAAGCCUUGGGGCUAAUACCCUCGAGGAAGGACAUCACCCACAGAAGAAGCACCGGCUAACUCCGUGCCAGCAGCCGCGGUAAUACGGAGGGUGCGAGCGUUAAUCGGAAUUACUGGGCGUAAAGCGCGCGUAGGCGGUCUGAUAAGCCGGUUGUGAAAGCCCCGGGCUCAACCUGGGAACGGCAUCCGGAGCUGGAAGGCGAGAGUGCGGGAGAGGAAGGUAGAAUUCCAGGUGUAGCGGUGAAAUGCGUAGAGAUCGGGAGGAAUACCAGUGGCGAAGGCGGCCUUCUGGACUGACACUGACGCUGAGGUGCGAAAGCGUGUGUAGCAAACAGGAUUAGAUACCCGAGUAGUC
Molecule: ribosomal RNA, 465 nt
Filed under: Vreelandella stevensii
Lineage: Bacteria; Pseudomonadati; Pseudomonadota; Gammaproteobacteria; Oceanospirillales; Halomonadaceae
Description: partial 16S ribosomal RNA
Rfam family: Bacterial small subunit ribosomal RNA
Source: RNAcentral